Molecule: ribosomal RNA, 440 nt
Filed under: uncultured bacterium
Lineage: Bacteria
Description: partial 16S ribosomal RNA
Rfam family: Bacterial small subunit ribosomal RNA
Source: RNAcentral
CCUACGGGUGGCCGCAGUGGGGGAUAUUGCACAAUGGGGGGAACCCUGCUGCAGCGACGCCGCGUGGGUGAAGAAGCGCCUCGGCGCGUAAAGCCCUGUCAGCCGGGAAGACAAUGACGGUACCUGCAGACGAAGCCCCGGCUAACUACGUGCCAGCAGCCGCGGUAAUACGGAGGGGGCAAGCGGUAUCCGGAUUUACUGGGUGUAAAGGGGGCGCAGCCGGCGAUGCACGCCAGGAGUGAAACCCCGGGGCCAAAACCCGGGACUGCUCUUGGACCUGCGGGGCUGGAGUGGAGGAGGGGCAUGCGGAAUGCCUGGUGUAGCGGUGAAAUGCGUAGAUAUCAGGAGGAACACCGGUGGCGAAGGCGGCCUGCUGGACUGCAACUGACGUUGAGGCCCGAAAGCGUGGGGAGCAAACAGGAGUAGAUACCCGAGUAGGC